RNAcentral lists this ribosomal RNA (826 nucleotides) under Priestia megaterium. RNAcentral describes it as "bacterial SSU rRNA". It matches the Rfam family "Bacterial small subunit ribosomal RNA", at positions 620 to 1444 of the family's 1533-position model. The record is from RNAcentral. Lineage: Bacteria; Bacillati; Bacillota; Bacilli; Caryophanales; Bacillaceae.
GGGUCUUUGGAAACUGUGGAACUUGAGUGCAGAAGAGAAAAGCGGAAUAUCACGUGUAGCGGUGAAAAACGUAGAGAUGUGGAGGAACACCAGUGGCGAAGGCGGCUUUUUGGUCUGUAAAUGACGCUGAGGCGCGAAAGAGUGGGGAGCAAACACGAUUAUAUACCCCGGUAGUUCACGCCGUAAAAGAUGAGUGCUAAGUGUUAGAGGGUUUUCGCCCUUUAGUGCUGCAGCUAAAGCAUUAAGCACUCCCCCUGGGGAGUACGGUCGCAAGACUGAAACUCAAAGGAAUUGACGGGGGCCCGCACAAACGGUGGAGCAUGUGGUUUAAUUUGAAGCAACGCGAAGAACCUUACCAGGUCUUGACAUCCUCUGACACAUCUAGAGAUAGAGCGUUCCCCUUCGGGGGACAGAGUGACAGGUGGUGCAUGGUUGUCGUCAGCUCGUGUCGUGAGAUGUUGGGUUAAGUCCCGCAACGAGCGCAACCCUUGAUCUUAGUUGCCAGCAUUUAGUUGGGCACUCUAAGGUGACUGCCGGUGACAAACCGGAGGAAGGUGGGGAUGACGUCAAAUCAUCAUGCCCCUUAUGACCUGGGCUACACACGUGCUACAAUGGAUGGUACAAAGGGCUGCAAGACCGCGAGGUCAAGCCAAUCCCAUAAAACCAUUCUCAGUUCGGAUUGUAGGCUGCAACUCGCCUACAUGAAGCUGGAAUCGCUAGUAAUCGCGGAUCAGCAUGCCGCGGUGAAUACGUUCCCGGGCCUUGUACACACCGCCCGUCACACCACGAGAGUUUGUAACACCCGAAGUCGGUGGAGUAACCGUAA